UACAGAGGUCCCAAGCGUUGUUCGGAUUCAUUGGGCGUAAAGGGCGCGUAGGCGGCCUUCUAAGUCGAACGUGAAAUCCCCGGGCUCAACCCGGGAACUGCGUCCGAUACUGGAAGGCUUGAAUCCGGGAGAGGGAUGUGGAAUUCCAGGUGUAGCGGUGAAAUGCGUAGAUAUCUGCAGGAACACCCGUGGCGAAAGCGGCGCGCUGGACCACUACUGACGCUGAGGAACGAAAGCUAGGGGAGCAAACAGG
This 253-nucleotide ribosomal RNA is filed under the name uncultured bacterium. RNAcentral's name for it is "partial 16S ribosomal RNA". It matches the Rfam family "Bacterial small subunit ribosomal RNA", at positions 524 to 776 of the family's 1533-position model. The record is from RNAcentral.